This 8761-nucleotide long non-coding RNA is filed under the name Sorghum bicolor (sorghum). RNAcentral's name for it is "long non-coding RNA (SBIC_LNC012392)". The record is from RNAcentral. Lineage: Eukaryota; Viridiplantae; Streptophyta; Magnoliopsida; Poales; Poaceae.
CACAAAUUUCAGAGCAAUCCCGACAUGAACCAAGGAAGAGGACCAACAGGAGGAACAAGAACAAGCAAAUGUGGACCGAGUCAGCUAAGAUGGUCACUGCAGUUCAAAGAGGUCAAGAUCGUCGACUCAAGUCGCCUUUCCUGAUCAAGAAGGACGACCCUGGUAUUCCAAGCAUCAAGUGCAAAAUCAGUGGAUACUCUUUUCAGAAGACACUCUACGACACAGGAUCUAACGUCAACAUAAUGGCCACAGUCACUUAUCAGCUCCUGCAUGGAACCAUGCCCCUACAACUAAUAUAUAUUCAGCUCCAGAUGACUUUCAGAUCAUUGACAUGGGAGAAGACAAGUACGAUCCACCCAUCAUCCUUGGAGGACCAUUCCUCAACACUAUCAAAACUCUAAGCAGGUCAGGACAAGAAGAAGACAACGCAACCGCAACCAGAGGAGGCAAAUCAUCAAGAACGGAUGGGUAGACUACGAAGGAGAAGUGAUAAGGUCUGAAGACAUAUAGCUUGAACAGAUCUGUCCUGAGGAGACCGUAGCACCGAGUCAGGUGUGGAGAGAGAAGAUAGUUACACACGAAGAGGAGGCGCCGCCGGAACCACCGACUACGCCAUCCAGCGAAUCCCAGGACGACUGAGAAAACGGAGAGUCCCGUUCGGAGGACUUAAAAAUACCGAACGCCUUGCCAAGAGGUAAACUUGGUAGUUAUCCUUUUCCAUUCAAUAGUUUAGUUAAUCAGGUUCAUGCUAUCUUGAAAAGAAAAUAAAAAUGUUAAAAAAAUAAGUAAGCCCCAUGUGAGUAUGCUCAUGGCAUAAAACCCAUAGGUAGAUUUACUGUGGUGGCAUAAAAAUAAAAUAAAUAAGUUUUCAUCUUACAAUAAAAAUAUAAAAAUAAUAAGUGCAUGGUCCUGCUAAAUAAGUAAUAUUUAUUGAGGAGGCUCAACAGGAUAAAGGCUAGAUAUUUAUGCUAACACUUAACCAGUUCCACAAAGCUUUGUUGUCUAUUUGAGCUCCACAGGAUUCAAGGAUCAAAAAAAGACUAGCAGACGGAGGACAUCCUAAUCGCUAUCAGGGUGCUGCCGACUUUCAAAUACACCUCCACCACCUGCUAGCUACAUCAGAAGAAAUUACGUCAAAAUCCAGCUUGGGGGAGAGCACCCCCAUUUAUCCAGCUAAGUGUUUCUACUCGCAUUUAUACUUUACUCAAAUAAUAAAAGAUGCAUAAUCAUGAAAACCCAAAUAAAGAUUUUAUGCUUUUAUAUAUAUAUCUUUGCUUAGUUUGCUAAACAAAUAAAUAAAGUUUGCUAUCAACCCUCAUGAUAAGCUCUCACAUGGAAAUGAUAAAUAGUUGCUUUGCCAUGUACCUAGUUGUCAAAAUUGAAAUCUCUCUCAAGUUUAGGCAUAACUGUUAUAAUUUAAACCUGCUCUAAACCUGAACUUGUGGGAAGAGUACUUGAUCUAAAGUCUAAGUUGUUAACGGAUAUGAUAUGGGAAGGUUAAGCUGUUGUUUAUCUGUUCCUAAAGAUGCUAGAAUUCUGGAGAAUUUUAUCUUUGAAAAAUCUUUAAAAUAUCACAUGAUGAGUUUCUGUAUGAUGAGAGUUUAAAAUCCUACCACAGCCAUAUAUACAUGCUUAUUAGACUUUGAGCCACACAUUUACUUUUUACUGCUUAUGAGCAUUGAGUAUGGUCAAGCUGUGUAGACCCUAAGGAGCUUGUCAUGUGGUUAAAAUCAAGAUUCACUUGCACGUUCAUUCAUACAUGCUACUUCUACUCCGGAAGUACCAUCCACAUAUAUCCACUCAUUUCCAUCUCCAAAUUCACCCAAAAUUAUUCUGCUCCUAAUCCAAGAGAGAAUAGCCAAAAAUAUUAUCCUAUCCCUGUUAUUCCCUGUGAAAUAAAUGCUCGAGUUAUCUUGGUUACUACCACUUGCUAUAUUAUUUCAGGAGAUGAGUGCUCUAAAAAAAGAAAAAAAAAAGAAGAAAAAAAUACGAGGAAAUAAAAAGGGGCUAGUGCCCAGAACCUCGAAAGAAAAGAAAAAGUGAGACGAGAGGUAAAAAUGGACAAGUGUCCGACAGUAGAAUUAGGGGUACAAGAUACCCACCUGAGAGGAAAUAAAAAGAAAAUAUAGAGCAUCUCAUUCUCCUCAAAAAGCUUCAAAGUGCAAGAAAUGUAUGUAUCCCCUUAAAUGAGCAAAAGUAGAAUUAGACUUUCACCAUUGUUAUCAUCAUCAUCACCAUACACCAUUCAUUCGCCACACAUGCACAUCUUGAUUUGACUUAUUGACUUGUUUCUCUAGAUCCAUGGUUUGACUAUGCAAUAAAUGUCUUGUAAGUAUGUAUUAGCUGUCUCCCACCUAUGAGCUCCAGAUAUCAAAACCUUAUUAGAGUAGGGUGAGAGAGAAGGCAAUAUCACUAUGCAUUAUACCAAUAAUACCACAUACUUUGAGAGAAGGCAUAUACCAUUACUGCCUCGGUAAGGAUCCAUAAAUACCACAAAAGAGAGAUCUGAGAGAGUCAUACAAGGAAUCUCUGAGUUUUAUUUGAAAAUCUACAAAAAACUCCAGAGCUAUAGCUGAUCAAGAAUAAGAGACAUGGCGCUUGACUUGACCGUUCUAUCUUUUAACUGCUCAAGACACAAGUGACGGUUACAAGCCCCAUGGUGAAAGGUAAAAUGAGUAAGUUUUAAGUCUUAACAGUUUAUUCUAAACUCAGAGAUGAGAUAUUACUUUUAAGGCAUGAAACCACUGCAGAAACUCUUGAGUUCAUCCUUGCUCAGGGACGAGCAAGAGGUAAGCUUGGGGGAGUUGUUGACGGUCCUUAAGUACCAAAUAUAAUCAUCAAAUAAAUAAAGAAAAGGAUCCAAAUGCAACCAACACCUAGACUUAGGGUUUUAUCUGACAGAAUUCCACGAGUUUUGGUGUUUGUCUAUUUCUGCAGGGGGUUAUCAGGAAAUAAGGAAGAAAGGCCCACAUGUCGGGAUUACAUAGAGAUAUCAACGCACCGCGCAAUUUUCUACCAUCUAGAAGACUCCAGAAGCCACGGGGAGAAAGCAGAGGCCGAAAGGGGCCAGGCCCAGGGCGCCCGCCCUCCUUCCCUGGGCGCCCGCCCUGUCCUGGACUCCGUUCGGGACUCUCUUCGCACACGACGUUCCACCGACCUAAAGGAUCAAGGAUAAUGUAGUACCACAUCGCCUACCGACCCAAAAACGCAUAGAGGAGGAGGACUAUAUAAGGAGACCCCCUUGACCCCUGUAGGAGACAAGAAGUUAUCAUAGAGAUUGAGGGGUGCCCUCGAAGGAAAACCUCUUCUCUAAAUAAUAUUUCUUUUUAGGCUUAGCAACCAAUGUAAGUAGAAAUAGAUCUUCUAGUUUCUACUAGAUUGAGAGAGAUAGAGUGGAGGUGUGAUCGGAGGAAGGCCGGCCUGUCGGUGUCUACUCCGAGUUGUACCUGCGGGAUCAAGUCUUCUAACCCGAGGCUUGCUCCUAAGAUUCUUCAGUAAUUCGACUUCUAAUUACUAGUAAGUUCUUGUUUUAUUGUUCUUUGGUUUAUGAGUUUACUUUAAUCCUCUUCCGGUUGAGUAUUAGAGUAAUCAUUGCUAGCGUAAACGUGGUGUUUAGGCUAGGGUACUCAUAGAUAUCCCCUGAGUAGCUGGACCGUGGUAGUAGCGAGGAACGUGACAUUUCCGAGUUACCUUUGCAGACCAUAUCUCGUUAGCAGGACGGGUAGGUUUAUAGGUGCGGGUCGAACAUCCUUUGUGUUGUCUAGAUUCCGUGAGCCUCCCCAAUAGAACAGUAGAUCAUCCUUACAAAGGUUAGAACGAGACUACGGUUGCAGUCUUCUCUAUACAUCACUCACAUCGAGAAACAUUCUUUGUAGCCUAAAGGGGUAAUAGCAAUAGAUUUGGUUAGUCAGAUGCACCCUUUCUCCCAGUGGUAAAAAUAUAAAUAUGAUACUCUAGAAAACCUCCCGGGUGAAAUGCUCACCGAUAUCUGUGCGCUUGCGGAUCAUUUCCUGAUUGCGUUACCAAAUAUCAACACCUUCCUUGCUUUUUAAAACUUUAUGAGGAGAAUGAGAUGCUCUUCUUUUUCUUUUCUCUCAGGUGGGUAUCUUGUACCCCUAAUUCUACUGUCGGACACUUGUCCAUUUUUACCUCUCGUCUCACUUUUUCUUUUCUUUCGAGGUUCCGAGCACUUGCUCCUUUUUAUUUCCUCGUUUUUGAGGCCAUUCGUGAACACCUCGGGAGCAGUCAUCCACGCUAGUGCUGCCAAGAUCAGUUUCUACAUCAAGGGGACGAAGGAGACGUUUUCCUUCAAGAACAAGACUACACAAAUCUCAGAGCAAUCCCGACAUGAACCAAGGAAGAGGACCAACAGGAGGGACAGGAACAAGCAAAUGCGGACCAAGUCAGCUAAGAUGGUCACUGCAGUUCAAGGAGGUCAAGAUCGUCGACUUAAAUCACCGUUCCUGACCAAAAAGGAUGACUCUGGUAUCCCAAGCAUCCAGUGCUCCAUUAAUAGAUACAACUUCCAGAAGACGCUUUGCGACACCAGGUCAAGCGUCAACAUAAUGGCCGCAGUCACCUAUCAACUCCUGUUCGGAACCAUACCCCUAAAACCGACAUACAUUUAGCUCCAGAUGGAAGAUCAGACAUUCCGAAAGGUUGAAGGUUAUUGACAUGGGAGAAGACGAGCACGAUCCACCCAUCAUCCUUGGAAGACCGUUCCUCAGCACUGUUAAAGCAAUCAUCUAGAUUGGAACCAGAGAAGUCCACAUGCACUUCCCCUCUAACAAGGUACGCCGCUAUUUUACUGACCCUAACUAUAUAGUUGAAGAUUCUAAGCAGGUCAGGACAAGAAGAAGACGACGCAACCGCAACCAGAGGAGGCAAAUCAUCAAGGACGGAUGGGCAGACUACGAAGAAGAAGUGAUAAGGUCUCAAGACAUACAACUUGAACAGAACAGUCCUGAGGAGACCGUAGCACAGAGUCAGGUGUGGAGAAAGAAGAUAGUUAUACAUGAAGAGCUGGCUCCACCGGAACCACCGACUACGUCAUCCAGCGAAUCCCAGGACGACUGAGAAAAUGGAGAUUCCCGUUCGGAGGACUUAAAAACACUGAACGCCUUGCCAAGAGGUAAACUUGGUAGUUAUCUUUUUCCUUUCAAAUUAUUUAAAAUAGUUUGCUUAGUUAAUCCGGUUCAUAUCAUCUUGAAAAGAAAAUAAAAAUGUUAAAAAAAUAGUAAGCCCCAUGUGAGUAUGCUCAUGGCAUAAAACCCAUAAGUACAUUCACUGUGGUGGCAUAAAAAUGAAAUAAAUAUAUUCCUGUCCUAUAAAAAUAAAAUUAUAAAAAUAAAUUUAUGAUCCUACUAAAAAGAGUAAUAUUUAUUGAGGAGACUCAACAUGAUAAAGGCUAGAUAUUUAUGCUAACACUUAACUAGUUCCACAAGCUUUGUUGUCUAUUUGAGCUCCACAGAAUUCAAGGAUCAAAGAAGACGGAGGACAUCCUAAUCGCUGUCAGAGUGCUGCCGACAUUCAAAUACACCUCCGCCGCCUGCUAGCUACAUUAGAAGAAAUUACAUCAAUAUCCAGCUUGGGGGAGAGCACCCCCAUUUAUCCAGCUAAGUGUUCUACUCACGUUUAUAUUUUACUCAAAUAAUAAAAAGAUGCAUAAUCAUAAAAACCCAAAUAAAGAUUUUGUGCUUAUAUAUAUAUCUUUGCUUAGUUUGCUAAAUAAAUAAAUAAAUAAAAUUUGCUAUGAACCCUCAUGAUAAGCUCUCACAUGGAAAGAUGAAUAGUUGCUCUGCCAUGACUAGUUCUCAAAAUUGAAAUCUCUCUCAAGUUUAGGCAUCACUGUUAUUAAUUAAGAUUUGCUCUAAACCUGAACUUGUGGGAAGAGUACUUGAUCUGAAGUCUAAGUCGUUAACGGAUAUGAUAUGGGAAGGUUGAGCUGCUGUUUAUCUGUUCCUAGAGAUGCUAGAAUUCUGGAGAAUUUUAUCUUUGAAAAUCUUUAAAAUAUCACAUGAUGAGUUCCUGUAUGAUGAGAGUUUAAAUUCCUAUCACAGCCAUAUAUACAUGCUUGCUAGACUAUGAGCCACACAUUUACUUUUUACUGCUUAUGAGCAUUGAGUGUGGUCAAGCCGUGUAGACCCUUAGGAGCUUGUCAUGUGGUUAAGUCAAGAUUCACUUGCACGUUCACUCAUACAUGCUACUUCUACUCUGGAAGUACCAUCCACAUAUACCCAUUUCCAUCUCCAGAACCACCCAAAAAUAUUCUACUCCUAAUCCGGGAGAGAAUAGCCAAAAAUAUUUCUAUUUUUUCCCUGUGAAAUAAAUGCUGAAGUUAUCUUGUCACUACCACUUGCUAUAUUAUCUCAUGAGAUGAGUGCUCUAAAGAAAAAGGAGAAAAAAAAAGAAGAAUACGAGGAAAUAAAAAGGGGCAAUUGCCCGGAACCUCGAAAGAAAAAAAAGAAGAAAAAGUGAGACGAGAGGUAAAAAUGGACAAGUGUCCGACAGUAGAAUUAGGGGUACAAGAUACCCACCUGAGAGAAAAGAAAAAAAAGAAAAAGAAAGAAAAAAGAAAAUAUAGAGCAUCUCAUUCUCCUCAAAAAGUUUCAAAAGAGCAAGAAAGGUAUGUAUCCCCUCAAAAGAGCAUAAGUAGAAUUAGACUUUCACCAUUGUCACCAUCAUCACCAUACACCAUUCAUUCGCCACACAUGCACAUCUUGAUUUGACUAUUUGACUUGUUCUUCUGGAUCCAUGGUUUGACUAUGCAAUAAAUGUCUUGUAAGUAUGUAUUAGCUAUCUCCCACCUAUGAGCUCCACAUAUCAAAAGCCUUAUUAGAAUAGGGUGAGAGAGAAGGCAAUGCCACUAUGCCUCAUACCAAAAAUACCACAUACUUUGAGAGAAGGCAUACACUAUUAAUGCCUUGGUAAGGAUCCAGAAAUACCACAAAAGAGAGACUAGAGAGAGUCAUACAAGGAAUCUCUGAGUUUUAUUUGAAAAUCUGCAAAAACUCCAGAGCUAUAGCUGAUCAAGAAUAAGAGACAUGGUGCUUGACUAGACCGUUCUAUCUUUUAACUGCUCAAGACACAGGUGACGGUUGCAAGUCCCAUGGUGAAAGGUAAAUGAGUAAGUUUUAAGUCUUAACAGUUUACUCUAACCCGAGAUGAGAUCUUGUUUAAACGCAUGUGUAUCUUUAAGUUAUGAAACCACUGCAGAAACUCUUGAGUCCAUCUUUGCUCAGGGACGAGCAAAGGUUAAGCUUGGGGGAGCUUGUUGACGGUCCUUAAUGCUCACAUUUAACCAUCAACUAAUCAUAGAAAAGGAUCUAAAUGGAACCAACACCUAGACUUAGGGUUUUAUCUGAUAGAAUUUCACAAGUUUUGGUGUUUGUCUAUUUCUGCAGGGGGUUAUCAGGAAAUAUGGAAGAAAGGCCCACACGUCGGGUUUACAUAGAGAUAUUAACGUGCCGCACAAUUAUCUACCAUCUAGAAGACUCCAGAAGCCACGGGACCGAAGCGGAGGCCGAGAGGGCUCAGGCACUGGGCGCCCGCCCUAGUCCUAAGGGCGCCCUUCCACCUCUUUCCACCAAUCAGGGCGAAGUUCGGGGAUCAUGCUCACCGACCUAAUACUUCAAGGAAAACCACACGAUCAAUGUCGGUUUGAUCCGACGUCCCAGAUUCACUUGAAGGGACUAUAAAACCAGACCCCCUGGCCCCUGGAGAUCAUACCUCUUCUACAGAAUCAAAGCUAGGGUUUCAAUUCUUCAUCCAAGUAGAGAGGAUCCCUCUAGUUCUUCUAGUUCUACCUCUAGUUCAUCUAGAUCUAGUUCUAGUUCAUCUAGUUCUAGUUCUAGUUCCUCUAGUUCUAGUUCUAGUUAGUUCUAGUUGUAAUCUAGAAAAUAGGGAGAGAGAAGAGGAGAGCGGAGGGGGAGCCGGAUCUGUCGGAUCUUCCUCAACAUUGUACUUUUGCAGCAUCUGGUUCGUUCUUCAUCGUUCUCUAGGUUCUUCAACUCAUAACUCCUGAGUUCUCGAAUUAAUUUUAUUUACAUUCAAGUUAUUUAUUGGAUUCCCGCUUGCAUCAAGUGCUCUAGUCUUUGAAACAUUAUAGUAGUAAUUAAUAGAUUAGACGUGGUGUUUAGUCUUGCAAUUACCUGGAAUUGCACCCAAUCCUGCGAAUUGUUGUGGUAGCCUUAGGGUAGUGACAGCCCUAGCGGUCGACGUAUUCCACCUCGUUCGGAUCGGUGUUUGUAGGACCGUAGUCGGAGCUUCCUAGCCCCCUUCUCAUCUCUUUCUGUGGUUAGUGUUCUGAUGUCCCGAAAUAGAUAAUCUUGAAGUAAUUCUUGAUUCUUAGAUCAACUAGAGAACUCUCAGGAAACUUCCUCUCUUCCCACCAAAAAUAAUCAUAUAGUUAUCCUUGGGCGAUCUUGGAUCUUAAUUAGUACACUCACGUUCCCUGUGGAAAAUCGAUACUCUGGAAUACUCCCGGGUGAAAGCUACAUCGGUAUCCGUGCGCUUGCGGAUUUUUCUGUUUGCAUUUAAAAUACCCAACAACAACUUAGACUUUAGAUCAAGUUUUCAUCCCACAAGUUUAGGUCUAGAGCAAGAUUUAAAUUAUAACAGUUAUAUCUAAACUUGAGAGAGAACUUAAAAUGUACAAAUUAGGCAGAGCAACUAUUCAUCAUAUCCAUGCUUAAGUUUUAUUAUUAAGAUACAGAUUAGCAUAGCCACUUUAUUGAUUUAGUAGACAUACUAAGCAAAAGAC